GGGUCCAUAGCUCAGCGGCAGAGCGCUCGGCUCAUAACCGAAUGGUCGCAGGUUCGAUCCCUGCUGGACCCA
RNAcentral lists this transfer RNA (72 nucleotides) under Candidatus Moraniibacteriota bacterium. RNAcentral describes it as "tRNA-Ile". It matches the Rfam family "tRNA". Rfam says of the family: Transfer RNA (tRNA) molecules are approximately 80 nucleotides in length. Their secondary structure includes four short double-helical elements and three loops (D, anti-codon, and T loops). Further hydrogen bonds mediate the characteristic L-shaped molecular structure. tRNAs have two regions of fundamental functional importance: the anti-codon, which is responsible for specific mRNA codon recognition, and the 3' end, to which the tRNAs corresponding amino acid is attached (by aminoacyl-tRNA synthetases). tRNAs cope with the degeneracy of the genetic code in two manners: having more than one tRNA (with a specific anti-codon) for a particular amino acid; and 'wobble' base-pairing, i.e. permitting non-standard base-pairing at the 3rd anti-codon position. Lineage: Bacteria; Candidatus Moraniibacteriota. The record is from RNAcentral.